Molecule: transfer RNA, 82 nt
Filed under: Elsinoe australis
Lineage: Eukaryota; Fungi; Ascomycota; Dothideomycetes; Myriangiales; Elsinoaceae
Description: tRNA-Val
Rfam family: tRNA
About the family: Transfer RNA (tRNA) molecules are approximately 80 nucleotides in length. Their secondary structure includes four short double-helical elements and three loops (D, anti-codon, and T loops). Further hydrogen bonds mediate the characteristic L-shaped molecular structure. tRNAs have two regions of fundamental functional importance: the anti-codon, which is responsible for specific mRNA codon recognition, and the 3' end, to which the tRNAs corresponding amino acid is attached (by aminoacyl-tRNA synthetases). tRNAs cope with the degeneracy of the genetic code in two manners: having more than one tRNA (with a specific anti-codon) for a particular amino acid; and 'wobble' base-pairing, i.e. permitting non-standard base-pairing at the 3rd anti-codon position.
Source: RNAcentral
GCUUCUGUGGUCUAGUGGUAUGACGUCCGCCUCACAUUCGUGACCUCGCGGCAGGUCGCGAGUUCGAUCCUCGCCGGAAGUA